Molecule: ribosomal RNA, 473 nt
Filed under: uncultured bacterium
Lineage: Bacteria
Description: bacterial SSU rRNA
Rfam family: Bacterial small subunit ribosomal RNA
Source: RNAcentral
GCAGAGCACUCCUAGGGAGGCAGCAGUGGGGAAUAUUGCACAAUGGGCGCAAGCCUGAUGCAGCCAUGCCGCGUGUAUGAAGAAGGCCUUCGGGUUGUAAAGUACUUUCAGCAGUGAGGAAGGUGGAUAUGUUAAUAGCAUAUUCAUUUGACGUUAGCUGCAGAAGAAGCACCGGCUAACUCCGUGCCAGCAGCCGCGGUAAUACGGAGGGUGCGAGCGUUAAUCGGAAUUACUGGGCGUAAAGCGCAUGCAGGUGGUUUGUUAAGUCAGAUGUGAAAAGCCCGGGGCUCAACCUCGGAAUUGCAUUUGAAACUGGCAAACUAGAGUACUGUAGAGGGGGUAGAAUUUCAGGUGUAGCGGUGAAAAUGCGUAGAGAUCUGAAGGAAUACCGGUGGCGAAGGCGGCCCCCUGGACAGAUACUGACACUCAGAUGCGAAAGCGUGGGGAGCAAACAGGAUUAGAUACCCUGGUAG